RNAcentral lists this ribosomal RNA (274 nucleotides) under uncultured bacterium. RNAcentral describes it as "partial 16S ribosomal RNA". It matches the Rfam family "Bacterial small subunit ribosomal RNA", at positions 523 to 796 of the family's 1533-position model. The record is from RNAcentral.
AUACGGAGGGUGCAAGCGUUACUCGGAAUCACUUGGCGUAAAGCGCGCGCAGGCGGCCAUUUAAGUUGGAUGUGAAAGCCUACGGCUCAACCGUAGAACUGCAUCCAAAACUAUUUGGCUAGAGUGUGGGAGAGGAAGAUGGAAUUAGUUGUGUAGGGGUAAAAUCCGUAGAGAUAACUAGGAAUACCAAAAGCGAAGGCAAUCUUCUGGAACACUACUGACGCUGAGGCGCGAAAGCGUGGGGAGCAAACGGGAUUAGAAACCCCAGUAGUCC